AGGAAGAAGAAGGAGAAGAUGGUUGUGCCACCGUGGCCGGUGGUGGCGAGCUCUGGAGGUGCGGCGAAGCCGGCUGAAGACGUAGCGGAGGCCGGAGAGGGCAACAGCGGCGACGGCGAGAGAGUGCGAGAAGUGGCAGCGGCUUUCUUACCACCGUUUCCAGCGUCCUUUGGCAACAAUUUCGGUCUCAAAAUGACCGGUGAGUUGAAGGCUUUUUUUUAGGAGUAGCGGCGUUAGCAGUCGGAGGGAGGAGAUUCGGUGAAGUUAUGACAGUCGGAAUCUUGGGCUUUUUCGGUGAGCUUUGGCCGAUCGGAGGGUAUAU
This 322-nucleotide long non-coding RNA is filed under the name Ricinus communis (castor bean). RNAcentral's name for it is "long non-coding RNA (RCOM_LNC003233)". The record is from RNAcentral. Lineage: Eukaryota; Viridiplantae; Streptophyta; Magnoliopsida; Malpighiales; Euphorbiaceae.